UGUAUAAUGGGUCAGCGACUUAUAUUCUGUAGCAAGGUUAACCGAAUAGGGGAGCCGAAGGGAAACCGAGUCUUAACUGGGCGUUAAGUUGCAGGGUAUAGACCCGAAACCCGGUGAUCUAGCCAUGGGCAGGUUGAAGGUUGGGUAACACUAACUGGAGGACCGAACCGACUAAUGUUGAAAAAUUAGCGGAUGACUUGUGGCUGGGGGUGAAAGGCCAAUCAAACCGGGAGAUAGCUGGUUCUCCCCGAAAGCUAUUUAGGUAGCGCCUCGUGAAUUCAUCUCCGGGGGUAGAGCACUGUUUCGGCAAGGGGGUCAUCCCGACUUACCAACCCGAUGCAAACUGCGAAUACCGGAGAAUGUUAUCACGGGAGACACACGGCGGGUGCUAACGUCCGUCGUGAAGAGGGAAACAACCCAGACCGCCAGCUAAGGUCCCAAAGUCAUGGUUAAGUGGGAAACGAUGUGGGAAGGCCCAGACAGCCAGGAUGUUGGCUUAGAAGCAGCCAUCAUUUAAAGAAAGCGUAAUAGCUCACUGGUCGAGUCGGCCUGCGCGGAAGAUGUAACGGGG
This 571-nucleotide ribosomal RNA is filed under the name Escherichia coli. RNAcentral describes it as "partial 23S ribosomal RNA". It matches the Rfam family "Bacterial large subunit ribosomal RNA", at positions 609 to 1180 of the family's 2925-position model. Lineage: Bacteria; Pseudomonadati; Pseudomonadota; Gammaproteobacteria; Enterobacterales; Enterobacteriaceae. The record is from RNAcentral.